RNAcentral lists this ribosomal RNA (1339 nucleotides) under metagenome. Its description in RNAcentral is "bacterial LSU rRNA". It matches the Rfam family "Bacterial large subunit ribosomal RNA", at positions 1595 to 2925 of the family's 2925-position model. The record is from RNAcentral.
UGAUACCCUGCUUCCAGGAAAAGCCACUAAGCUUCAGCUAUACACGACCGUACCGCAAACCGACACUGGUGCGCGAGAUGAGUAUUCUAAGGCGCUUGAGAGAACUCGGGAGAAGGAACUCGGCAAAUUGACACCGUAACUUCGGAAGAAGGUGUGCCCUUAGUAGGUGAAGUCCCUCGCGGAUGGAGCCCAAUGGGGUUGCAAAAAUCGGUGGCUGCGACUGUUUAUUAGAAACACAGCACUCUGCAAACACGAAAGUGGACGUAUAGGGUGUGACGCCUGCCCGGUGCUGGAAGAUUAAAUGAUGGGGUGCAAGCUCUUGAUUGAAGUCCCAGUAAACGGCGGCCGUAACAAUAACGGUCCUAAGGUAGCGAAAUUCCUUGUCGGGUAAGUUCCGACCUGCACGAAUGGCGUAACGAUGGCCACACUGUCUCCUCCCGAGACUCAGCGAAGUUGAAAUGUUUGUGAUGAUGCAAUCUCCCCGCGGAAAGACGGAAAGACCCCAUGAACCUUUACUGUAGCUUUGUAUUGGACUUUGAACAGACCUGUGUAGGAUAGGUGGGAGGCUUUGAAGCUGGGACGCUAGUUCCGGUGGAGCCAACGUUGAAAUACCACCCUGGUGUGUUUGAGGUUCUAACCUAGGUCCCUUAUCGGGAUCGGGGACAGUGCAUGGUAGGCAGUUUGACUGGGGCGGUCUCCUCCCAAAGCGUAACGGAGGAGUUCGAAGGUACGCUAGCUACGGUCGGACAUCGUGGCGAUAGUGCAAUGGCAUAAGCGUGCUUAACUGCGAGACUGACAAGUCGAGCAGAUGCGAAAGCAGGACAUAGUGAUCCGGUGGUUCUGUAUGGAAGGGCCAUCGCUCAACGGAUAAAAGGUACUCUGGGGAUAACAGGCUGAUACCGCCCAAGAGUUCAUAUCGACGGCGGUGUUUGGCACCUCGAUGUCGGCUCAUCUCAUCCUGGGGCUGUAGUCGGUCCCAAGGGUAUGGCUGUUCGCCAUUUAAAGAGGUACGUGAGCUGGGUUUAAAACGUCGUGAGACAGUUUGGUCCCUAUCUUCCGUGGGCGCUGCAGAUUUGAGGAAGCCUGCUCCUAGUACGAGAGGACCGGAGUGGACACACCUCUGGUGUAUCGGUUGUCACGCCAGUGGCAUUGCCGAGUAGCUAAGUGUGGAAGAGAUAACCGCUGAAAGCAUCUAAGCGGGAAACUCGUUUCAAGAUGAGAUCUGCCGGGGCCUUGAGCCCCCUAAAGAGUCGUUCAAGACCAGGACGUUGAUAGGCAGGGUGUGGAGGCGUAGUAAUGCGUUAAGCUAACCUGUACUAAUUGCUCGUGCGGCUUGACC